GCAUCGGUGGUUCAAUGGUAGAAUGCUCGCCUGCCACGCGGGCAGCCCGGGUUCGAUUCUCGGCCGAUGCA
Molecule: transfer RNA, 71 nt
Filed under: Cordylochernes scorpioides
Lineage: Eukaryota; Metazoa; Arthropoda; Arachnida; Pseudoscorpiones; Chernetidae
Description: tRNA-Gly
Rfam family: tRNA
About the family: Transfer RNA (tRNA) molecules are approximately 80 nucleotides in length. Their secondary structure includes four short double-helical elements and three loops (D, anti-codon, and T loops). Further hydrogen bonds mediate the characteristic L-shaped molecular structure. tRNAs have two regions of fundamental functional importance: the anti-codon, which is responsible for specific mRNA codon recognition, and the 3' end, to which the tRNAs corresponding amino acid is attached (by aminoacyl-tRNA synthetases). tRNAs cope with the degeneracy of the genetic code in two manners: having more than one tRNA (with a specific anti-codon) for a particular amino acid; and 'wobble' base-pairing, i.e. permitting non-standard base-pairing at the 3rd anti-codon position.
Source: RNAcentral